CCUCAGUAACGGCGAGUGAAGCGGUAACAGCUCAAAUUUGAAAUCUGGCUCUUUCAGGGUCCGAGUUGUAAUUUGUAGAAGAUGCUUUGGGUGUGGCUUCAGUCUAAGUUCCUUGGAACAGGACGUCAUAGAGGGUGAGAAUCCCGUAUGUGAUUGGUGGCUUUCGCCCGUGUAAAGCUCUUUCGACGAGUCGAGUUGUUUGGGAAUGCAGCUCAAAAUGGGUGGUAAAUUUCAUCUAAAGCUAAAUAUUGGCCAGAGACCGAUAGCGCACAAGUAGAGUGAUCGAAAGAUGAAAAGCACUUUGGAAAGAGAGUUAAACAGUACGUGAAAUUGUUGAAAGGGAAGCGUUGGCAACCAGACUCGUAUGCCGCUAAUCAUCCGGGGUUCUCCCCGGUGCACUUGGUGGUUUUCGGGCCAGCAUCGGUUUCGGUGGUGGGAUAAAGGCCUUGGGAAUGUAGCUCCUUUCGGGGAGUGUUAUAGCCCUCGGUGCAAUGCCGCCUACCGGGACCGAGGACCGCGCUUCGGCUAGGA
This 531-nucleotide ribosomal RNA is filed under the name Erioscyphella abnormis. RNAcentral's name for it is "partial 28S rDNA". It matches the Rfam family "Eukaryotic large subunit ribosomal RNA", at positions 78 to 623 of the family's 3401-position model. Lineage: Eukaryota; Fungi; Ascomycota; Leotiomycetes; Helotiales; Lachnaceae. The record is from RNAcentral.